Ictalurus punctatus (channel catfish) is the source of this 1300-nucleotide long non-coding RNA. NCBI's taxonomy places the organism in Eukaryota, Metazoa, Chordata, Actinopteri, Siluriformes, Ictaluridae. The record is from Ensembl.
CAUGUAUUUCGCAUGUACACGUAUUUCGCCUACUAUAUAGUAGGCACCAGUCCAGUUGCAUUAUGGGAUUGUUUGACUCGCGCAGUGUCCAUCGGUUGCAUACUGCAAAAUCUCACCGGAAUUAGAACUCCAUCCGGGUAUUUCUCGCCUACUGUUUCUCGCAUACUAAGAAUUCGGACAUACCACCCCUCUGACGUACUGCUUUUCGCCUACUAUAUAGUAGCAACACUCACAGCACCACACUGGACAUUGCAGCUUCUUAUUGGACAGGUACAGGACAGGCUGAAUGCUGCUGCUGAUGUCUGUGAAGCCGAAAGCUAUGUAAUGGAUAUAACAUUUAAACACAUCAGGAGAGAAAUAGCGCUGAAAUGGGAAGAGAGCUACGGGAGCACCCACAGGAUGGAGAUGUUGCAGAAGAGCAUUAACGCAAACGUGGCCAGGAUCAUGACUGUGAACACUUUGUCGAAGUUGGGGAUGUUGCCCAUGCACUUCAGUAUGGCGUACACUAGCGUGAUGAACCACAUGACACCGGCACACACGGGACGAUGGCGCUGGUCCUUCAGAGUGUAGAAGACGAUGGGAUGGCACACGGCCAUGUAGCGGUCCAUGCAGAUGCAUGCCAGGAAGAGCGGCGACAUGUCCUUGAUGCCGUAGAAGAAGCGCAGUAUGUAGCAGGUGCUGCUGGUGGUCAGGUACAGCAGGUUGGCCAGCUCCAGUGGCAGGAUGAGGCAGAAGAAGGUAUCCAGCACAGCCAGGUGCCAGAUGAAGAUGUCCGACGUGGACGAGUCGCUCCUGUUGCGGUGGAUCAGCCACAGGACUAUGAGGUUGGCCGGGAUGCCCAUGAACAUGUUAAUAAUCUGCAUUCCCAGGUAGAAGAGGAUGAUCACGGGCAUGUGGCUGCACAUCUCAUACACUGUCUUUUCAGGCACCGAGACAUUUCCGUUAAGGACCAGGGUGUUACUGGUGUCAUUACACAUCUCCAUCGCUCAAAAGCUGGUGCUGAUCCAAACAAGAAACUCCAAAACUGAAAUGAAAGAUUUACAUAUGUAUUAUAAAAGCUCAUAUAAUAUUGUUGCAUUGGGUUGUGCACUAUUUAUGGUCACUGUACGGUUUGAGAUAAUGUUGAGUCUACAUGAAAUUUAACUUUUUAAACUUGACGGACGUGCCCCAUCUCAUCUCAUCUGAUCCAAACAGGAAACUACAAACAAAAAGCUGAAAUGAAAGGUAUACAUAUGUAUUAUAAUAAUGUAUUGAAUUGUACAGCAUCUAUAGGUCACUUUCCAGUUUCCUGAAAUAGUAC